Molecule: ribosomal RNA, 493 nt
Filed under: uncultured bacterium
Lineage: Bacteria
Description: partial 16S ribosomal RNA
Rfam family: Bacterial small subunit ribosomal RNA
Source: RNAcentral
GACGAACGCUGGCGGCGUGCUUAACACAUGCAAGUCGAACGGUGAAGGGACCGGUUUUUGCUGGUUCUGGAUGAGUGGCGAACGGGUGAGUAACACGUGAGUAACCUGCCCCCUUCUUCUGGAUAACCGCAUGAAAGUGUGGCUAAUACGGGAUAUUCUGCGCCUACUGCAUGGUGGGUGUGGGAAAGAUAUUGUUUCGGUGGGGGAUGGGCUCGCGGCCUAUCAGCUUGUUGGUGGGGUGAUGGCCUACCAAGGCGGUGACGGGUAGCCGGCCUGAGAGGGUGGACGGUCACACUGGGACUGAGACACGGCCCAGACUCCUACGGGAGGCAGCAGUGGGGAAUAUUGCACAAUGGGCGCAAGCCUGAUGCAGCGACGCCGCGUGAGGGAUGGAGGCCUUCGGGUUGUAAACCUCUUUCGCCAGUGAAGCAGGCCUGUCCCUUUUGUGGGUGGGUUGACGGUAGCUGGAUAAGAAGCGCCGGCUAACUACGUG